Pelobates cultripes (western spadefoot toad) is the source of this 1232-nucleotide non-coding RNA. Lineage: Eukaryota; Metazoa; Chordata; Amphibia; Anura; Pelobatidae. The record is from the annotation of a GenBank genome assembly.
GUUUCAUUGGUAACUAUCUCAACUACUGCUUGCAAUCUUAUAAUACGAUUAAGCAUAUAUAUUGGGGUUCUGUAUCCAUAAGUACCAUCCUCUGCCCAUGUAGCUGGCCCAUAAUAAUCUAUAAUACGCUGGGGAGGCCACUCAUCAUCUUCCCAGGUACCUAUCUCUAGGGGUGCCCUUUUCUUCCUAUGAUUUACAUCAUAUACUUUAACUCCCAAAGUCUCUCCUGUUUCAAUUGGCAACAAGAAGAAGGAUGGUUUGAGCAUACCUAGUACACAUGCCCCUUCCCAGUCUUGUGGUAACUCCGAAUAUGCCUUCUUACCACAAAUCCAGUACAAUUUUGCUGGGGCUUUCCAACUAGAUGUAGCAGAUAGGUCAAACCAUACAUCCUUUAAAUUGGUAUAAUUUGCAAACGGAUUAGACGGUUCUGAAACAUUUGAAGCUGGCCACCAAAUAGCAUCCUUUGUAUCGACAUUAUAGGCUUUCUGCCCUAAACAAGUCAAUUCUCCUACAGAUGUAUUAAACAUUAUUCCUUUCCUUGCUAUACAAACAUAACCUAUAAUGGAGGUCUUUAAUCGCCACUCAGAUUUACCUCUAACACUCACUUGAUAAUCAGAUUGAGAAGAUAUUAGUUGUUCAACUGUCUCAGAACCAGAAUACAUUACCUCCUUUGCUUCCCAAGGCCAUUGGUCUCCCAUAUUAGUACCUCCACACACAUAGCAGUUGGUUACAUUAAGACUACCAGCAAUGCUCUCAGCUAGGUCUAUGAAUAAGUUUUUGGCAUUAUGGGGAACCUUAUCUUCCACACUCAUCUCCUCAUAAAAAAAAUGGAAAACCUGAUGAGUCUGGGGGGCCACUGUAUCUGUCUCUAUUCCUAUGUAUAAUAUCGUCCCAGGAUCCAAACCUGUUCCAUAUAUUUGGAACCCAAAUAGAUUCCCAAACUUAUCUAUAAAUAGCUCUGGGUCCUUGAUAAGUAUAUGGACUGGGUUACACUCCACAGACUUACAAUAUGGCUUGGUAGGCAAUCUAGUGAUAAUCAUAUCCUUAUCUACUGUCUGUCCCCAGGUUGCCCAUCCCACACAGGACCAAUACGGACAAUAAUUGUAGUCUUUAUUUAGGCAGUUUGGAUCUAUAUACUUAUGCUUAUUACUAGGACAAAUAUACUUAUCAUUAGACCCAUACGUUCUUUCCCAUUUAAGACCACCACAUACAUUCCAUGGCUUCCUACUACC